GAAAUAUUCCAUUGCAUAUGAACCAUUAUCUUCUUAUUGGUAUCAUCGUCUAUUGUCCCUUGGGUGCCAUACUCGAUUGCUUCCAUCAACAGCCUGCAGAAUAGAUAUUUGCUAGACCCCGACCUACAUCCCAUGUGCAACUCACUUUCUCUUUCUUCUUUCUUUCUCCCUUCUUUCCUUAUCUUUUUCUACUUUAGUAGCACCUUUAAUAUCAAGAAACCAAUUAUCUAGUAUCAUAAAUAUUCCACAAUUAAUUUGUGCAAGUGAGCAACAAGCAUUUGCUCCGUUAUGGAAGUGCACAAAGAUUUCGAAGAGUACUCUUAAGCCAUGUUAUUGCUCUAAAAAGCCUCUUCAACUAUGAAAAAUGUACCACUCUUCUAUCUUUAUCAUGUUGUCAGCCUAGGUC
This 406-nucleotide unclassified non-coding RNA is filed under the name Hevea brasiliensis (rubber tree). Lineage: Eukaryota; Viridiplantae; Streptophyta; Magnoliopsida; Malpighiales; Euphorbiaceae. The record is from RNAcentral.